CAGCAGGGAAAACCACUGAGCAGUUUUGGAUCAGAAUCUGGAAUCCCCCAGAAUUUAUUAGAAAGCUUUUGUUUUAUGACAUUUUUGUGAGGGCCCUGGAUGUGUAGAAGACCCUAAUUAAGUGAGAGUUAUGAUCGUUUAAUAGGAGACAGUCCCUGCCCUGAAGAGCUUACAGUCUAAACAGACAAGACAGCCAAAAGCUGAAAAAGCCUUGUUUUGCAGUUGAACAGCUCAGCCAUUGGAAAGUUGAAUGACUUUUUCAAGGUCAUACAUACAGAGCUGGGAACUGGAGGCAGACCUGCUCUAGCAUUGUUCCCUGACAGCAUCCCUACUUAUGCAGCAGUCAUUGUAAAAGGCAGCUGGAAAAGGAAAGUGAAGAAGAGCCUGGCCUUGCGGCUGGGGAGGCCCCUCAGCACAGCAUCAGAACCGGAGUGAACGAGCAGUUCUCCUCUUAUCUGAUGUAGCCUGGAGAGCAGACAGAUAGGACUGCAGCAAUCAGUAUGAUGGGAAUGCAGUGGGUGGACUCUAUCAGGAGAAAAGAAACCCUCCCCUCUAUGGAUGAACCUUCAUCUCUCAGUUUCCCCCCUCUCCAGCCCCCAUUCCGGUGGUGAGGCUCAGCCUACUGAAGUUGCUCUUCACCACUGUGCAGAGAACUCCAGCUCUGUAGGUCAAAUUCUACACCUUUGUGAGUGGUCCCACCAUUGGGUUACCUUUCCACAGUCCAUUGUCUUGAGGGACCCCAGCCCUGGCCACUGUCAUCAGCCAGCUUAGAUGCUUCCUCCUC
Empidonax traillii (willow flycatcher) is the source of this 784-nucleotide long non-coding RNA. RefSeq lists it as uncharacterized. NCBI's taxonomy places the organism in Eukaryota, Metazoa, Chordata, Aves, Passeriformes, Tyrannidae. The record is from RefSeq and is a predicted model, not a curated record. The transcript is spliced from 4 exons.